RNAcentral lists this ribosomal RNA (497 nucleotides) under uncultured bacterium. RNAcentral describes it as "partial 16S ribosomal RNA". It matches the Rfam family "Bacterial small subunit ribosomal RNA", at positions 28 to 507 of the family's 1533-position model. The record is from RNAcentral.
GAUGAACGCUGGCGGCGUGCCUAAUACAUGCGAGUCGAGCGAACGGACGAGAAGCUUGCUUUUCUGAUGUUAGCGGCGGACGGGUGAGUAACACGUGGAUAACCUACCUAUAAGACUGGGAUAACUUCGGGAAACCGGAGCUAAUACCGGAUAAUAUUUUGAACCGCAUGGUUCAAAAGUGAAAGACGGUCUUGCUGUCACUUAUAGAUGGAUCCGCGCUGCAUUAGCUAGUUGGUAAGGUAACGGCUUACCAAGGCAACGAUGCAUAGCCGACCUGAGAGGGUGAUCGGCCACACUGGAACUGAGACACGGUCCAGACUCCUACGGGAGGCAGCAGUAGGGAAUCUUCCGCAAUGGGCGAAAGCCUGACGGAGCAACGCCGCGUGAGUGAUGAAGGUCUUCGGAUCGUAAAACCCUGUUAUUAGGGAAGAACAUAUGUGUAAGUAACUGUGCACAUCUUGACGGUACCUAAUCAGAAAGCCACGGCUAACUACGUG